This 253-nucleotide ribosomal RNA is filed under the name uncultured bacterium. RNAcentral's name for it is "partial 16S ribosomal RNA". It matches the Rfam family "Bacterial small subunit ribosomal RNA", at positions 524 to 776 of the family's 1533-position model. The record is from RNAcentral.
UACUUAGGGUGCGAGCGUUGUCCGGAAUUAUUGGGCGUAAAGAGCUCGUAGGCGGUUUGUCACGUCGGAUGUGAAACCCCGGGGCUUAACUCCGGGCCUGCAUUCGAUACGGGCUGACUAGAGUUCGGCAGGGGAGACUGGAAUUCCUGGUGUAGCGGUGAAAUGCGCAGAUAUCAGGAGGAACACCGGUGGCGAAGGCGGGUCUCUGGGCCGAUACUGACGCUGAGGAGCGAAAGCGUGGGGAGCGAACAGG